UACGUAGGGAGCAAGCGUUGUUCGGAUUCAUUGGGCGUAAAGGGCGCGUAGGCGGCGGGGUAAGUCGGGUGUGAAAUCUCAGAGCUCAACUCUGAAACUGCACUCGAUACUGCUCUGCUUGAGGACUGGAGAGGAGACUGGAAUUCACGGUGUAGCAGUGAAAUGCGUAGAUAUCGUGAGGAAGACCAGUGGCGAAGGCGGGUCUCUGGACAGUUCCUGACGCUGAGGCGCGAAGGCCAGGGGAGCAAACGGG
Molecule: ribosomal RNA, 253 nt
Filed under: uncultured bacterium
Lineage: Bacteria
Description: partial 16S ribosomal RNA
Rfam family: Bacterial small subunit ribosomal RNA
Source: RNAcentral